This 120-nucleotide ribosomal RNA is filed under the name uncultured bacterium. RNAcentral describes it as "partial 16S ribosomal RNA". It matches the Rfam family "Bacterial small subunit ribosomal RNA", at positions 215 to 334 of the family's 1533-position model. The record is from RNAcentral.
GCGCUUUAUGAUAAGCCCGCGGCCUAUCAGCUAGUUGGUGAGGUAACGGCUCACCAAGGCAAAGACGGGUAGCUGGUCUGAGAGGACGACCAGCCACACUGGAACUGAGACACGGUCCAG